Vicia villosa (hairy vetch) is the source of this 316-nucleotide long non-coding RNA. RefSeq lists it as uncharacterized. NCBI's taxonomy places the organism in Eukaryota, Viridiplantae, Streptophyta, Magnoliopsida, Fabales, Fabaceae. The transcript has 2 exons. The record is from RefSeq and is a predicted model, not a curated record.
GGCUAGCGUUGAUAUCAACCGAUCUUACCUUUGUUUGGUUUUGUUUAUUAGUAUGAUGUUGCUGUCAGGGAUAUCAAGUGGUGAGAAAAUUUUGGCGAGAAGUCCUGUGGAAAAUCCUUUGGGAAAACAUUGUCUAGAUGGUAUUGGAUGCCAGUCUAAUGACAAUUGUCGUGAACGUUGUGAAACAGAUGGCUAUAAUAAAGGUGGUAAAUGCGAGGGAUUACUAAUUCGCAAAUGUUGUUGUAAUGAAUGAGAAGUUAAUAUACCCUUCAAUAAAUCAAAAUAAAUAAAAUGAAUUGCCUUAUUGUAUUUUGAA